Molecule: long non-coding RNA, 302 nt
Organism: Hipposideros armiger (great roundleaf bat)
Lineage: Eukaryota; Metazoa; Chordata; Mammalia; Chiroptera; Hipposideridae
Exons: 3
Source: RefSeq, a predicted model, not a curated record
GGGUUGUCUCCCAACAUCCCCAAAUAGUUAUUAAGUCUCUGUUUUGCAGCUGAUGUAAUAAAAUACAGUCCCUGUCCACAGAAAGUCCCUGCCCCGGGGAGAGAAACGAAUGCAGCAUAGCUGCUUCAUUCAAAGACGGCUAGGUGAGGAGACACAGACUCCCUGAGGCAAAGCCCCUGCAGAGUCACACAGCUGGCCCCCGGCCGUGACAAGUCCCAGUCACCCACACUGCUUCUUAGAGCUCCAGCAGGAAUGGCGGCCAAGAGGGCGAAGACGAUAGGGCAGUGCAGACGUGCAGGGGC